CAGCCGAGCCGCAGCUCUCCCGGCUCUGCCGGCCGCCGCUGCAGGUGAGUCUGGGGAAAAAAAGAAACCAAACAGAAAAUGAGUUUAAAAUGAAGUCACUUGAGAACAUGAUUCCACUGCGGUGUUUAAGAUACAGCUCUAGAUCAUCCACCCUCUCUCUUGGAUUUCAUUGAUGCUUUGCAGGAUGCAGACAGAACUGAAAAUUCAGCUCCCCUAUUGUGCCAAACCUACCAGAGAUCCAGAGAGCAGCUGUCAUCUUUCUUGUGGCAAGGUGACUUCUUGCUCUCAAACAAGUAGUGUCCCCUUAUUUGAGCACCUAGCCUGUGGUACUGGACCUUGUGCUGCUGUUCUAAUAAGCAAAAUAAAUAUUACUUGGUUUUCUGAAAUAAAAAUAAUGAAGAUACUUAACCUGAUAGAAUGAAUUAAAGAAAAAUGGAGACAGGGAUUUGAUACUGGGAAACAAUGAUUAUGGUCUGGUCCUUGUGGAGAGAUAUUAAUGUUUGGCUUAAUAUGCAAGUUUUAAGUAAG
RNAcentral lists this long non-coding RNA (528 nucleotides) under Parus major (Great Tit). RNAcentral describes it as "lncRNA (ENSPMJG00000004192.1)". The record is from RNAcentral. Lineage: Eukaryota; Metazoa; Chordata; Aves; Passeriformes; Paridae.